RNAcentral lists this ribosomal RNA (245 nucleotides) under uncultured bacterium. RNAcentral describes it as "partial 16S ribosomal RNA". It matches the Rfam family "Bacterial small subunit ribosomal RNA", at positions 524 to 768 of the family's 1533-position model. The record is from RNAcentral.
UACGGAGGUGGCAAGCGUUGUUCGGAAUUACUGGGCGUAAAGGGCGCGUAGGCGGCGAUGCAAGUCGGAUGUGAAAACCCCGGGCUUAACCUGGGAACUGCAUCCGAAACUGCGUUGCUUGAGUCCUGGAGGGGGUAGUGGAAUUCCCAGUGUAGCGGUGAAAUGCGUAGAUAUUGGGAGGAACACCUGCGGCGAAGGCGGCUACCUGGACAGUGACUGACGCUGAGGCGCGAAAGCUAGGGGAG